This 372-nucleotide ribosomal RNA is filed under the name uncultured bacterium. Its description in RNAcentral is "bacterial SSU rRNA". It matches the Rfam family "Bacterial small subunit ribosomal RNA", at positions 28 to 402 of the family's 1533-position model. The record is from RNAcentral.
GACGAACGCUGGCGGCGUGCUUAACACAUGCAAGUCGAGCGGUAAGGCUCCUUCGGGAGUACACGAGCGGCGAACGGGUGAGUAACACGUGAGCAAUCUGCCCUUCACAUGGGAAUAACUUCGGGAAACCGAAGCUAAUACCGAAUACGACCACCGAUGGCAUCUUCUGGUGGUGGAAAGUUCCGGCGGUGAAGGAUGAGCUCGCGGCCUAUCAGCUUGUGGUGAGGUAAUGGCCCACCAAGGCGACGACGGGUAGCCGGCCUGAGAGGGUGACCGGCCACACUGGGACUGAGACACGGCCCAGACUCCUACGGGAGGCAGCAGUGGGGAAUAUUGGACAAUGGGCGAAAGCCUGAUCCAGCAACGCCGCGU